Chiroxiphia lanceolata (lance-tailed manakin) is the source of this 2363-nucleotide long non-coding RNA. RefSeq lists it as uncharacterized. The record is from RefSeq and is a predicted model, not a curated record. Lineage: Eukaryota; Metazoa; Chordata; Aves; Passeriformes; Pipridae. The transcript is spliced from 5 exons.
AGUGCCUUACUGCAAGCACAAAGCUCCAAGCACAGACAUCUUUUAUGAUGAACUAGAGCCUCUGAAGAGGAGAAUCUGAACGUGACGUCAAUAGCUGAUAACUGACGCAGCCUUGCAAAGGAGUCUCAGGCUGGCUCCUUGCAGCCUGCAAGCCCUAAUGAUUCUAUUUUUUCCCCAGUCCCCCCUCGUAGUGAAUUACUAGAACGCAAACACACACACCCCUUUUUUUUCAUAUAUGUAUUUAUAGAUCCUUUAUUCUCCAAACAAAGGAUUUUUUAAGGGGGGGAAAGGCACUGGGUGGGGAGGGGAGAAUUUUAUGAAAAACAACCUUUCUUCGUGCUGGGUGCAAUUCAGUACAUGAAACCACCUCUAUCUCUCGGCAAAGCAAACAUCCCUGCCUGAAAUCCACAUUUGUGCAUGAUGGCAAACUGGUGCAUGGUGGUUGUGUUUUUUCCAAAGCCCACUUUAUAAAGACUCCGGAGGAAGACAGACACAAUAAUGAUUGCAAGGCAACAGGCAGAGAGGCACAGAGACAGACUCAAUACAACUGUGGAUUAGGGGGUUGUGCAAUAGGACAGCAUGGAAGGCGGUCAGUUUGGGUCGUUUGGUGUGGAUUUUGUUUGUUUGUUUUUGUUGUGUGGUGUUUUUUUUCCUCUGCAAUGAUACACCUAAAGCAAAUGUGGAUGGUGUUGCAGAAAGAAGCUAGGGUAGGGGGGUGCGUGGUUGGGGGUUGUUGUGUUGUAGGGGGGCAGACUUAAUGCACAUUUAAUGUUUUGGAUGUAGCGUUCCAGCGAAAUGCCUUUGUGUGUAGAUUUUUUUCCCCAGUACCUGCUAAAAAUAGCAUCAGGGUUUUGAUCGCGUUCCAGAAAUAGACAGAGGGUUGCACUUGUAUAAAAAGCGAGCGCGGGUGGAAGAAAACCUGGACAUCACCGCAGUAUUUUUUUUCCAACUCCUGUCUGGAAAUUAAUUGUUGGAUUCCCCCCCUCCCUUUCCUCGCCCCCUCCCCCUCCCCCCUCCCUCCCCUAACCGAGGAGUUCCCGUUUGGGUGCGGACGCGCCGUCGAGGCCGGAGGCACCGUGGGAGCAGCGAGGGCUGCAGGCAGGGAGCCUGGCACGGCCCCUGUUCUGGACAGAAGGACAGACGUCCGAGGGAAACGAGCAUAACUUCUCAGCUUGGCCACUUUCCAUGUGAUGGAGCAAUGUAGCCGACUUGUGGGUUGACUUAGGCUUGCAUCACCAUCCUGACCCGGGUUGCAUUGGCAGUCAUCUGGAACUGACUACAUGCCUGAACUGAUAAAAGUUGCUGUGGAAAUAUGGAUCUCUGGGGCCUUUGCAAGAUGCUUGUGCCAUGUCCUGUCUCUUUGUUGCCUGAUCCUCUGGAGGACAAAAGAUGAGAAUCAGCAGUGUGUCACUUAUCCUGCAAACAGUUUGAGAACUGCUUUGACAGCCAGUGGAAGAAAACAGUGUGAUGUGGUCACAGCAAGCACGUGUUCUUUCUAACAAUUUACAAUUGCACUAUGAUCCCAUUGAGAGUGAUACUUGAACCUCCCUCUGAUUACCUGUUCUUUUCUCUUGCUGUAACAACAUUGUUUCUUUCCAGCACAGGAGUGUUUAUGCAGAAAUACCAAGAUUCUCUACACAGAUUACAGUAGGUUUACAAAUUAAGGAAAAACUAGUAUGGAACAAUAGGAAAAUAAUCCCAGCAUUUUGCACUUACUUGUAAUCAAAAUCCUGUCUUUGGAGGGUGUUAUGUCAAAUAUACACUUGGUGAGGCCUAUGAGGAUUUUCCUUGUGUAACGGCAAGAGUUAGCCCUAGCAUAUCACACUAUUCUAAAAAUGGUGUCCAGUAAGCUAUAGGUGGCCUCUUGGAAAAAAAUCAGGAAAAAAGUUGGUGAAACUUGGAUCCUCUGCAGUGUCACUUUCACAGUUGAGUGACUGAAAAACAAAAGCAAAGAAAAAAAACCAGUGGGCUAAAUCACCAUGAGGUUGUGGAAUUGAAUAAAAUCCAGCGACGUUCCCUUCUGUUAGGUCUGAUGUAAGUGCUGUAUGGUAAAGACUAAUUUCUAAAAGUCAGCUGUAAACCUAUAGGUCAGCCAAUAAGACAGGGACUUGACACAUUUUUCAUUGUGAAGUGUAUGAUAGUUUCAUGCCUUUAAUCAACGUCACUGCGAACAGUAUAUUGUUGAAUCCAAUGGAGUUGGAAUCCUGCUAUGAAUUUAAUUGUUUUCCACAAGUAGAACAGAAGCCUUUGAUUUCUAUUAAUUAUGUAUCUGCGUGAAAAGCUAUUUUGUGUGUAUAUAUAUUUAAAAACAGGAAAUGUAACACAUAUUUAUUUUUAUUAAACUAAUAAAAGGGAUAAACCUA